AGAGUUUGAUCCUGGCUCAGAAUCAACGCUGGCGGCGUGCCUAACACAUGCAAGUCGAACGAGAAAGUGGAGCAAUCCAUGAGUAAAGUGGCGACCGGGUGAGUAACACGUGACCAAUCUACCCUCGAGUGGGGGAUAACUCCGGGAAACCGGGGCUAAUACCGCAUAAUAUCUUCGGGUCGGAAGAACUGAAGAUCAAAGGAGCAAUUCGCUUGAGGAGGAGGUCGCGGCUGAUUAGCUAGUUGGCGGGGUAAUGGCCCACCAAGGCGAAGAUCGGUAGCCGGCCUGAGAGGGCGCACGGCCACACUGGAACUGAAACACGGUCCAGACUCCUACGGGAGGCAGCAGUGGGGAAUUUUGCGCAAUGGGGGAAACCCUGACGCAGCAACGCCGCGUGGAGGAUGAAGUCCCUUGGGACGUAAACUCCUUUCGACCGGGACGAUAAUGACGGUACCGGUGGAAGAAGCCCCGGCUAACUACGUGCCAGCAGCCGCGGUAAGACGUAGGGGGCCAGCGUUGUUCGGAAUUACUGGGUGUAAAGGGUUCGUAGGCGGUGCGGCAAGUUGGGAGUGAAAUCUCUGGGCUUAACCC
RNAcentral lists this ribosomal RNA (591 nucleotides) under uncultured bacterium. RNAcentral's name for it is "bacterial SSU rRNA". It matches the Rfam family "Bacterial small subunit ribosomal RNA", at positions 8 to 615 of the family's 1533-position model. The record is from RNAcentral.